CAAUGAGCCAGGAGUCUCGCUGUGGGAGUCCAGCGAGGAGAGACCUGCGAGGAGAGGCUGUUGGAGAAAUUCCGAACAUAUCAGCGCUCUGGAAAAUGCCAACUACUAGACAGAUGCCGUGUCUGUGACUCCAGUCGAGCUGACAGUCUGUGAUUGGGCUCUUGGCAGUUGCAGUGGGAGUGGCAGACUCGCUGGCACCCGAGCGAGCUCUGGACGAAUGUGAUGUGAAUUUUUGCAGAAGGAAAUCAAGAGAAUCAGCUGCAAGACAGACACAGAUAUGCCUCGAACUUCAACAGAGCCAGCUCAUACGCCACAGAUACCUGACUCCAAUGUCCAGAGCCGAUUCCUCCUUAAACUGGACACAGUCAUCGAAAAUCAGACAGUUGUUGCACCUUCUGCACACGCUAGUUAACAGGAAUGCAGAGGACGAGGAAUUUGUGGAUGUUCUCCCUACCCCACUCACAUUGACACAGGAAUUUGAAGACCUUUGCCAGAAAAUUAAAUCUGAUGACAAGUUUAAAAAACAAAUGAUAUCCUAUCUGACUUCUGUGGGUGGCAAAAUGUUGGGGACAGUGUUCGCCGAAUGAUGAGGAAGGUCGGCACCAAUGACCUUUGGUCUAAUUAUAGCCUCAAAGGGAAAAGGGGGAAGAAGCCACUACUUGAGCUACCACUUAUUAUGGUAUUGACUAACGCGUAUCGACCUGGGAGCUGAAGCUACGGAGCCAGCACUAGUAGAGGGGAUGAGUCUUUGUAAAUAGAAAAUAAUCGGGACAGUCCUUGUAAAUAGAUCACUGUGUGGAGAUUGACUUUCUCCUGUACCACCACUCACAUCUUGACAGGUGUAUAAUGUGAUAUUAACCAUUAUUUACCCAUAUGUUGAAUUGUAGGUCUGAUAAAAUAUAUUACUUAAUUCCUAAAUGUUUGAAUAUAUUUUGAAUCCUAAUUCCAACUGAAUAUAUGGUUUCUAUUUUUCUAAAAACAAACCUAGUAUAAUCACAUUUCACCUGUGUUAGCAGCCCCACAUUGGCUUCCUGUACAGUUCAGGAUUGAUUUUCAGUUACAGGGCCCCAAAACUGCCUAAUUCUGUAUGGGAAGCACCAACUGUUGCAGCUUUUAAAA
Molecule: long non-coding RNA, 1119 nt
Organism: Acipenser ruthenus (sterlet)
Lineage: Eukaryota; Metazoa; Chordata; Actinopteri; Acipenseriformes; Acipenseridae
Exons: 7
Source: RefSeq, a predicted model, not a curated record